CUUUUGACCCCCUUGGUCAGUACGUGCCCAGGAACCAUGUUCAAUAUCAUCUUGGAUCAAGUGCACUCAGGAUGAUAAAUGUGCUGUGAAACCAACUCCACAGCCUGAAUGUCCACAGUCAGACUGGAAAACCUUGGUGAUAGCCCUGGUGUGAGCCUGCCCUUGCUGCUGGGCCCUUCAUGAGCGCAGAGGCCAUGGCAGAGUACAGGGAGGCCAUGAGCCCCACAUCACUUUCCUUUGAUCUUUUUGCAGGGGGGAGUCUCACCUUCUUCCUCGGUGAGUAUGGGGGCCUGAUCUUCAUCUGGCUGGAGAGAGAAGGGGCCUGAGGCCAGAGGGUAUGGAAGGGACCCUGUGGUGGCCACUCAGACUUUCUCUUUUUCCGGCAGGCUUCCCGAGUGCAACCUGGCCUGCUGCAGUGGGUGAAGUUUUGGUAGGUGAGUGUCAGAGUGAGCCGACCCAGGCCACAUCCUGGGAGUGGAGGCACAGUCACCCGGGGCAGGGCCAGGAUCUUGGUAUAUCCUCAGAUCUCAGUGGGCAGCGACAUGAAGUCAGGCAAUUUCUUGCAGCCACCACCGAGGCCCCGAAAAGCACUGGUCGUCAGGGAGUUCCUCCCCUUGGCCCCCAGCCUGUGCCAGCCCUGGCCCGGCUGCCACACCUCUGUUUCCUAGGCUGGGGACCCAGCUUGUCUCUCCUUGUUUCUUCCCACUGCACUGUGGUGCUUCAGUGGCCACCAGCCUCGUCAGAUACACCAGC
Molecule: small RNA, 753 nt
Filed under: Pan troglodytes (chimpanzee)
Lineage: Eukaryota; Metazoa; Chordata; Mammalia; Primates; Hominidae
Description: retained intron
Source: RNAcentral